AGAGGUUCUUUGAUUUGCUAGUUCUGGGUAUUGGGAAGAAGAAGUUCAUCAAGGAAUGUGAAGGCUGGGUCUUCGAAACCUCCAAUAGAUCUCACAAGUUAGUGGCCAGGGCACCGAAGAGUAUCAAACGCCGUCGCUAAAAAAAAAAAAAAAAACCAUUCGCUUCGGGAAAGAAGCAGAACAGAUCUCUCUCCCUCUCGCUUUACCAUCUACCCUUCUUUUCAUCUCGUCGACGACUAACCAAGUAUGUGAAGAAUCUCUCGUCAUCGGUUGUCGCUUCUGUCCGGUUAUUUGGCUAUUAGCUAGUCGCGACCGUGUCUCCAAGCAGCGAAGAGAAGUGGCUUUUUGGGCUAUGGAGCCUCGCCCUCGGGUAGGGGGAUGAUUCCGAGUCGGCCGGAAGAACAAUAGUAGACCUUUGGAGAGAUCUACUUAGGAGUGCCCAACACAUUGAAUGUGAUCACCAAUUUCCCAUUCUUGGUUGUUGGGGUUCUGGGUUUUGUUCUCUGUGUCCAAGGAGGCUUUUUCAAUAUCAGGUU
Molecule: long non-coding RNA, 536 nt
Organism: Rosa rugosa (rugosa rose)
Lineage: Eukaryota; Viridiplantae; Streptophyta; Magnoliopsida; Rosales; Rosaceae
Exons: 3
Source: RefSeq, a predicted model, not a curated record